This 416-nucleotide ribosomal RNA is filed under the name uncultured bacterium. Its description in RNAcentral is "bacterial SSU rRNA". It matches the Rfam family "Bacterial small subunit ribosomal RNA", at positions 355 to 787 of the family's 1533-position model. The record is from RNAcentral.
UAGGGAAUAUUGCACAAUGGGGGAAACCCUGAUGCAGCGACGCCGCGUGAGUGAAGAAGUAUUUCGGUAUGUAAAGCUCUAUCAGCAGGGAAGAUAAUGACGGUACCUGACUAAGAAGCCCCGGCUAACUACGUGCCAGCAGCCGCGGUAAUACGUAGGGGGCAAGCGUUAUCCGGAUUUACUGGGUGUAAAGGGAGCGUAGACGGCAUGGCAAGUCUGAAGUGAAAACCCCAGGGCUCAACCCUGGGACUGCUUUGGAAACUGUGUAUCUAGAGUGCCGGAGAGGUAAGCGGAAUUCCCAGUGUAGCGGUGAAAUGCGUAGAUAUUGGGAGGAACACCAGUGGCGAAGGCGGCUUACUGGACGGUAACUGACGUUGAGGCUCGAAAGCGUGGGGAGCAAACAGGAUUAGAUACCC